Molecule: long non-coding RNA, 220 nt
Organism: Daucus carota subsp. sativus
Lineage: Eukaryota; Viridiplantae; Streptophyta; Magnoliopsida; Apiales; Apiaceae
Exons: 2
Source: RefSeq, a predicted model, not a curated record
AAUUAUUUCAUAUCCUGCCAAGUCGACUGUGCUGAUAACCUGAUUCUCAGAAUAGUAUGAACAACAAUUACAUUCUGCACUGGGUGCAUUCAAUAUUUCAAUGGACCAUUAUUUGGGAGUUUGUCGCUGGCUCACAGCUACCGUUACAGUUGGCCUCAUAUGGCUGGAACUCAGCACCUCAUUGACAUGUAAACUGACAAUGUAUAUGUGUUUUGUGUUC